This is a long non-coding RNA of Gorilla gorilla gorilla (western lowland gorilla), 363 nucleotides long. RefSeq lists it as uncharacterized. The record is from RefSeq and is a predicted model, not a curated record. NCBI's taxonomy places the organism in Eukaryota, Metazoa, Chordata, Mammalia, Primates, Hominidae. The transcript is spliced from 2 exons.
CUUAGGAAACCUGGAGAAUGGAGGCCCUAAUUGCAGCUCUGUUCCCCGGAGACUCUGAUUUAAUUGAUGUGGAGAAAGACCUAAGUGUUGGAACUUUUUGGCAAGUUCCACAGGUCAUUAGUUUUUAGCACCUCAUCAUUUUGCUGCCUUGCUUUCCACAUUGAUCCUGCCACUUCUGUGUCAUGGGAUUUAGAGGUUUCAAACCAAAAUCACCCGAGCUGGCUCCAACGCUCACCAGUUGGAUAAUCUUGGACCCUGGCCUUCAAAAUAGGAAAAUAACCCACCAAGAUGAUUGUGAAAAACUAGGAGAGUGAAUGGCCCACUCAAAGAGAUCAAUAAAUGUGGUGCUUUUCUCUUCUUCAA